GAGGACGAAAUUAGCAGAAAUUGACACGAAACUGACUGAUCCUAACACGCACUUUAUAAAACUCGAAAUGCGUUAGCCUUAACGGGCACGUGGGUUCGAAUCCCACCGUCUCCGCCA
RNAcentral lists this transfer RNA (117 nucleotides) under Candidatus Eubacterium pullicola. RNAcentral's name for it is "tRNA-OTHER". Lineage: Bacteria; Bacillati; Bacillota; Clostridia; Eubacteriales; Eubacteriaceae. The record is from RNAcentral.